UUAGAAACAUGAAAUCCUAAUAAAAAUGUAGCCUCAGACUAUGUCGAAACGAUCGUUGAAAAUAAUUAAAGUUCUGAUUGUAGUGCACAUAUCCCUGCAAUGAGUUGGAAUAAAAGUAUGACAAGGGAUUAUUUCUUUAAUCUAGUAAUGGAGUCGCGUGGUCGAUAGUGACCAAUAAAGGGACAAUAACAAUUUAUCUGUGCUUUGGUCAUUUCAUUAAAUAAUGUCUAUACCUGAAUCCUGUGUCAUCAAUAAUGAAAUGCUACAUACACGCACAUUCAUGGAACACGUGUGCGUCUGGGUGCAGUUUGCUUUGAAGAUAAAUGAUCGUCUAAUUGAAUUUAUUAAUCAAUUACAAUAUUAUAUAAUUGAGUGUACGCCGUUUGAAAUCGAAAACCGUCCCGAGUGCAUUGUCAUGUGCAGUGUGAAUACUGUGUUUAACUUGCAAUGGAAAUGACAUAAUAUAGUAUUAUAUAAUAUUAUCUAUAAAUUAACUGAAAACAAUAUCAUAAUCAAAUAAAAGACGUAAGCUAUCGAA
Aphis gossypii (cotton aphid) is the source of this 538-nucleotide long non-coding RNA. RefSeq lists it as uncharacterized. The transcript is spliced from 3 exons. Lineage: Eukaryota; Metazoa; Arthropoda; Insecta; Hemiptera; Aphididae. The record is from RefSeq and is a predicted model, not a curated record.